UAUCUGACAGAAUAAACACUGUGUGGCAUUAUUAGAUAAGGAAAGGUAUCUAAUCUUUCGCUUAAUAUAUUGUUGUAAACUGGAUGAGUGCAAUAUAAUUUUCAUUUUUCAAUAAUAUUUCCACCGGCUAGGUAGAAUUAAGUCUGUAACACCUACGGAUCUGAUUGUAACUGAAGACGACUUCUAGUGGUGUGUUGCUGAAGAUAACUGCAAUUUGUUCGAAAAUGAGUGACAAACCAGAGAAUACUGACCAAAAAACAAACGGGGAAUCCCAAACACAAAAUCCCCCUCCUGUUGAAAGUACCGAUGGAGAACCCAAAUCCAGAAAGAAGAGAUCUAUACUUGAUUCUCAGGAAAGGGAAAACAUUGGAAUGGAUGGAGCCGAGUGCGAAGAAUUUAAGUAGUAAAUUUUGUAAUAAUGUACCAUAUUUAUUUAGAAAUUAAAAUUUUUAUAUAAGUAAUUAAUAUUUAAGGCUAUAUUUACACUAUCAUAAUGCCGCAAGAUUAAUUUCGAAAACAUUUUCUACAGUUAAUUUUUUGCAUAAAGGAAAUUAUUGUAAAACUUUGUAGUGUAAUGUUUAGGAUUUAUUUUUAAAAUUUGAAGGCCAAAAGUUGCAGCUAUAAAAAUUAAGUAAGAACACUUUGUUUAAUUUCCAUGACAACGCCAAGAAUAUUAUUAAUGAGAGAAAAGUUUAGGUCAAUAAAUAAUGUUUUAAAUUCAAAAUCACUAUUUCCAGCUAGCUUUUUAUUAUAAUACUGAAGUGACGCUUUAACAAACGAACAAAAUAACAUUAAAUACAUUUAUUGCUGAACUUGCUGUUAUUGAAUACGCCCGGUAUAUAAGUGAGGCUAUUUGGGAAGUUUCUUGUCAUAUAUUUAGUAGUAUUCAGUAUUAGUACUCAUCUAGAAGCGGUGUUGGAUGUGUUUAUUUAAAAUUAACAAUUUGGUUGACUCUACAUACAAGCGAAUUAAACCACCAAUAGUGUUCUUUGUCAAACACUUUUCUUUUUCUUGUUUCCCUCUUACCCUCUACAGGAAAGAACAUAUUUUGGUGAGUUUUUCUUUGUUAUCCAUUUUUUAAACCACUUUCCACUUUGAACAGCUAGUUGGGACCCACCAGUUAUAGUCUCAGUAAACACUUAAAAUUAGACAAAGUCGCGCAAUCAUAAUUUAGCAUCCUAUAAUUUAUGGAACUAAAAAAAAUAAAUUAAAUGUUUUGUAGUAGUUUUAAAUUUAAAACGUUAUUAAGGGUACCUAUUUUUGAAACUAGAAAAGUAGUAAAUUCACCGAUUGGAUGUAACUGAAUCAUGGCAAUGAUAAUAUAAAUAAUUUGCAGUGUAAAUUAUAUUCGUAGAUUUAAGAAAAUGAUAGAGUUAUCACGAGUUGGUGUAUAUUUAUAUUUUAAUAUUAUGGUGACAUUUUGUUAAAAAAUAGUAUUAUUGUCGUUAUACGAUAUAUACAUUUUUAAUUAUUUUUAAUAUUUGUAUUGCACUUUGAAACAUGUAGGUAUGUACUUAGUAAAGGAAGUUGUAUACUUUUAUACCAUUUGUAUACCAUUUUUUAGGUAUUAAAGAUGUUUUUAAACUUA
Long non-coding RNA from Anoplophora glabripennis (Asian longhorned beetle), 1588 nucleotides. RefSeq lists it as uncharacterized. The record is from RefSeq and is a predicted model, not a curated record. The transcript is spliced from 2 exons. NCBI's taxonomy places the organism in Eukaryota, Metazoa, Arthropoda, Insecta, Coleoptera, Cerambycidae.